RNAcentral lists this ribosomal RNA (253 nucleotides) under uncultured bacterium. RNAcentral describes it as "partial 16S ribosomal RNA". It matches the Rfam family "Bacterial small subunit ribosomal RNA", at positions 524 to 776 of the family's 1533-position model. The record is from RNAcentral.
GACGAACCGUGCAAACGUUAUUCGGAAUCACUGGGCAUAAAGGGCGCGUAGGCGGCUUUCUAAGUCAGGGGUGAAAUCCGGCAGCUCAACUGUCGCAGUGCCUUUGAUACUGGAGAGCUCGAGGGAGGUAGGGGUCUGUGGAACUUCCGGUGGAGCGGUGAAAUGCGUUGAUAUCGGAAGGAACGCCGGUGGUGAAAGCGACGGACUGGAUCUCUUCUGACGCUGAGGCGCGAAAGCCAGGGGAGCAAACGGG